RNAcentral lists this ribosomal RNA (465 nucleotides) under uncultured Klebsiella sp. RNAcentral describes it as "bacterial SSU rRNA". It matches the Rfam family "Bacterial small subunit ribosomal RNA", at positions 338 to 795 of the family's 1533-position model. Lineage: Bacteria; Pseudomonadati; Pseudomonadota; Gammaproteobacteria; Enterobacterales; Enterobacteriaceae. The record is from RNAcentral.
CCUACGGGCGGCAGCAGUGGGGAAUAUUGCACAAUGGGCGCAAGCCUGAUGCAGCCAUGCCGCGUGUGUGAAGAAGGCCUUCGGGUUGUAAAGCACUUUCAGCGGGGAGGAAGGCGGUGAGGUUAAUAACCUCAUCGAUUGACGUUACCCGCAGAAGAAGCACCGGCUAACUCCGUGCCAGCAGCCGCGGUAAUACGGAGGGUGCAAGCGUUAAUCGGAAUUACUGGGCGUAAAGCGCACGCAGGCGGUCUGUCAAGUCGGAUGUGAAAUCCCCGGGCUCAACCUGGGAACUGCAUUCGAAACUGGCAGGCUAGAGUCUUGUAGAGGGGGGUAGAAUUCCAGGUGUAGCGGUGAAAAGCGUAGAGAUCUGGAGGAAUACCGGUGGCGAAGGCGGCCCCCUGGACAAAGACUGACGCUCAGGUGCGAAAGCGUGGGGAGCAAACAGGAUUAGAUACCCGGGUAGUC